RNAcentral lists this ribosomal RNA (474 nucleotides) under uncultured bacterium. RNAcentral's name for it is "bacterial SSU rRNA". It matches the Rfam family "Bacterial small subunit ribosomal RNA", at positions 28 to 523 of the family's 1533-position model. The record is from RNAcentral.
GACGAACGCUGGCGGCGUGCUUAACACAUGCAAGUCGAACGGUAAGGCCCUUCGGGUACGACGAGUGGCGAACGGGUGAGUAACACGUGGGUGAUCUGCCCUGCACUUCGGGAUAAGCCUGGGAAACUGGGUCUAAUACCGGAUAGGACCAUGGACUUCACGGUUUGUGGUGGAAAGCUUUUGCGGUGUGGGAUGGGCCCGCGGCCUAUCAGCUUGUUGGUGGGGUAAUGGCCUACCAAGGCGACGACGGGUAGCCGGCCUGAGAGGGUGUCCGGCCACACUGGGACUGAGAUACGGCCCAGACUCCUACGGGAGGCAGCAGUGGGGAAUAUUGCACAAUGGGCGCAAGCCUGAUGCAGCGACGCCGCGUGAGGGAUGACGGCCUCGGUUGUAACCACUUCAAUAGGACGAAGCGCAAGUGACGGUACCUAUAGAAGAAGCACCGGCCAACUAACGUGCCAGCAGCCGCGGUAA